This 470-nucleotide ribosomal RNA is filed under the name uncultured fungus. Its description in RNAcentral is "eukaryotic LSU rRNA". It matches the Rfam family "Eukaryotic large subunit ribosomal RNA", at positions 1 to 466 of the family's 3401-position model. The record is from RNAcentral. Lineage: Eukaryota; Fungi.
UUGAGCUCAGAUCAGGUAGGACUACCGCCUGAACUUAAGCAUAUCAAUAAGGCGAGGAACAGAAACCAACAGGGAUUCCCCUAGUAGUGGCGAAUGAAGCGGGAAAAGCUCAAGUUUGAAAUCUGGCGGGCGACCUCCAGAGUUGUAAGCUGAAGAGGCAUAGACCGACGAGGUCCAGGCUCAAUUUCCUUGGAACAGGAGGUCAUGGAGGGUGAGAACCCCGUCUGUGGCUUGGGUGCCGUCGUCCUUGUGUCUUGUCCUCGUAGAGUCGGGUUGUUUGGGAAUGCAGCUCAAAAUGGGUGGUAAAUUUCAUCUAAGGCUAAAUAUUGGCGAGAGACCGAUAGCAAACAAGUAGAGUGAUCGAAAGAUGAAAAGUACUUUGAAAAGAGAGUGAAACAGUACGUGAAAUUGUUGAAAGGGAAGCGUUUGGCAUCAGCCCAUGGCGUUCAAAGAUCAUCCAGGCUUCUGUC